CAAGCAUCAAAUUACCCAUUUAAUUACUUUUUAAAACUCUCUCUUCAUAGGUCUUGCAUGGUUGCAGCACAGCAUAUCAUUUAUCCACAGGUGUGAAAUCCCCACUGAGCAAGAGCUUCAGGACAAUGGUCAAUCUGUGAGAAAUGCUGAGGGUGUUCAAGUCCAAUUGUGUUCUCAGACUUCCCCAGGAGCUGGGAGACUGAGGCCAACAUACCUGAAUACAGCACCACCCAGGAGCCUUGUAGCCUAAGGUGCCAGGCUGACUCAAACCUGGACCCACUCCUGUCACGUGAGAGGGAUGGAGAAGCCCUGCAUCUGGUUCUUGAAGUAAAGGCCUUCAUCACUCUUUUCCUCAAAGAGCUGCAUGUCGAUUAGAGUCUUGGAACAAUCGCUUUCCACUGCUCAUUGGCCCAGCUCACUGGCCUCUUGCCCAAGGACAGGUAACGGGCACAUGAAGAGACAGCGGAAGCAGUUCUGGGCCAACCAAAAAAGAUCUCAACCCAGGGUAAGUCUUUUACGAGGAAAAGCCUGUCCUUUGCUGAUGCUCAAAACAUAUGUGACUUGAAAUUGUUUGUUCAUUCAUGUUAAGGGGACUGAGUUCCCACUGGCCAGUCUCAUGUUGGGAGACCCAAUCCCUACCCAGGAAAGCUUUAUAAAGGUGGAGGAGGGGGGAGAGGGAGGGGGAGAAGAACUCAUGCUAGCUGUCUUGUUUGUUCGCUUCUUAACCUCCCUUGGUUGAGGUUACCAAGAGGGUGCACACUGGCUCUGCUCAGAACAAUUCUGCUGCUGCCAAACCCGUCAACCUUUACUUGCCAUCUCUCAGUAAGGAAUACUAAUGCCAAAUAGAUGAGCUGUGUCCUGGAGCCAGUGACAUCCCAGGAGGGAGUGGUGGCAUCAGGAGAUGGGAGGAGUAGAUGGGAACAAGACCCUUUAGGGAAUCUAGUGGCCUCCAGAAAAUGGAAGCUCUGAAAGUAUUAACUUCUCAAUGUGGCACCUGAGACAUCCUUGUGUGUUUUCUAGAACAUUUUGGAGUAGGCACUGGAGGUAUUUCAUCCAGCAGUGAGAGUCUUUUGGAGUCAGAGCACUGAAAGCCUUAGGCAGAUGUUCCUUUGCUCCUCUCAUUUAUUACAUACACUUCCUUUGGACCACUACCCAUGGAAUGGGCAAUAUUAGUUAUCCAUCGGGAUGAUUAUUAGCUUGUUUUCCUCUAUCAAGCUCAACCAUAAUGUUUUUACUUUUUUCCUUGGAGUCUACCCAUACAACGAACAGCUGGGCUGUGUGAGGGCUGAGAGCUCACACUGGGGAUGCUUGUUGCUGAGGGUGUGGGGCUUGGUGUAGGGACACCUGGGGGAUGGUCACAUGGCACACUGGAAGGGCCUCUGCUGCAAUUUGGUGUCAAGAUGUCUACCAGUAGGUCAGCUCCACUCAUGAAAUAAACCCCCAUCAGUCCACAUUUCAGCAAAUGAGAUCUCAAAUAACCAUUUUAACAUAGUUCAUUAAAAAGAUAUAAACCAACAAGUUACAAAGCCAUCAUCAGGCAUCAUUCAGGAAAGAACAGUUCAAAAUAUAAUCAGUAAGUCGUCUUUACCUCCUUGUAGAAUCUUAGGAUAACUCAAUACUUCUAAUCAGAGACACAGUAAGUACCAUAUAUGGCUUUUUGUUACUGUUUUGUAUUUUAUUUGAUAACUUGUCUAUGUAGUCACAUGGUACCUGCAAGCUAAUCUGAGUAAAUAGAUGAUCUCAAAUAGAAAAAUACUUGAUCCAUCCUACACCUUAUUGCCAUCCCCCUCUCUUGCUCAUCCCCUUGUAUCUUACUAAGAACUGUGUAAGACCCUUCCUCCAUAUACAGGUUGCCAUUAGUAAUGUCCAGUUGGUACAAUAGUACCCACCUCCUGGAGGCAGUUGGCUGGACCACACUAGGCACCCG
RNAcentral lists this long non-coding RNA (1927 nucleotides) under Panthera leo (lion). RNAcentral describes it as "lncRNA (ENSPLOG00000014748.1)". The record is from RNAcentral. Lineage: Eukaryota; Metazoa; Chordata; Mammalia; Carnivora; Felidae.